GUUUAACACAUGCAAGUUGAAAGAAGAGCAUUGUUUGAAUUCUUCGGAAGGAAGAUAAUGUGAAGAGUGGCGGACGGGUGAGUAACGCGUGGGUAACCUGCCAUGUACAGGGGGACAACAGUUGGAAACGGCUGCUAAUGCCGCAUAAGCGCACGAGAUUGCAUGAUCUAGUGUGAAAAACUCCGGUGGUAUAUGAUGGACCCGCGUCUGAUUAGCUAGUUGGUAAGGUAACGGCUUACCAAGGCGACGAUCAGUAGCCGACCUCAGAGGGUGACCGGCCACAUUGGGACUGAGACACGGCCCAGACUCUUACGGGAGGCAGCAGUGGGGAAAGUGCACAAUGGGCGAAAGCCUGAUGCAGCGACGCCGCGUGAACGAAGAAGUAUUUCGGUAUGUAAAGUUCUAUCAGCAGGGAAGAAGAAAUGACGGUACCUGACUAAGAAGCCCCGGCUAAUUACGUGCCAGCAGCCGCGGUAAUACGUAGGGGGCAAGCGUUAUCCGGAUUUACUGGGUGUAAAGGGAGCGCAGGCGGCCCGGCAAGUCUGAUGUGAAAACCCAAGGCUCAACCAUGGGAUUGCAUUGGAAACUGUCGAUCUAGAGUAUCGGAGGGGUAAGUGGAAUUCCUAGUGUAGCGGUGAAAUGCGUAGAUAUUAGGAGGAACACCAGUGGCGAAGGCGGCUUACUGGACG
RNAcentral lists this ribosomal RNA (689 nucleotides) under Lachnobacterium sp. G80. Its description in RNAcentral is "bacterial SSU rRNA". It matches the Rfam family "Bacterial small subunit ribosomal RNA", at positions 46 to 735 of the family's 1533-position model. The record is from RNAcentral. Lineage: Bacteria; Bacillati; Bacillota; Clostridia; Lachnospirales; Lachnospiraceae.